UUGUGGGUUGCGGGAGAGACUCCGCGGGGCGUUUGAUUUUACCCAGUGGGGCGCCGAAGGUGCAACCCCGGUGAUCAAGUGGGGGAAACUCUCAGGCAAAAGGACCGCAAUCCCUUG
Molecule: non-coding RNA, 117 nt
Filed under: Nitrospinota bacterium
Lineage: Bacteria; Pseudomonadati; Nitrospinota
Description: Nitrospira bacterium Glycine sequence
Rfam family: Glycine riboswitch aptamer
About the family: This family represents the bacterial glycine riboswitch. Glycine riboswitches usually consist of two metabolite-binding aptamers domains with similar structures in tandem. The aptamers cooperatively bind glycine to regulate the expression of downstream genes.
Source: RNAcentral